UCCAGUGCUGCUGGGAUCAAGGGUGUGCAUCGCCACACCCAGCCCAGACACAUCCUUCUGCAUUGUGCUUAUGGUGUCCAUAUUGCUUUGUGUUUAGCUUGCUUUUCCUCGGAGGCUUCUGACGUUUGGACAGGAAAUCUUCUGUUAGCAUGAAAAUCAACACAUCAGAGCUCCUCAUUUUCCUUCUAGUGACCCCUUCCCAGAGUGGGCUCCCACAAUUUCACGGGCCAGGUGAGAAUUGCACAAGCCGCCCAGCCAUGGAGUUACUUUCAAGCUUGGCUCUGACUAUGGCUGAUGUGUCGUGGUUUAUUAGUGCCAACAAUGUGUUCAACUCAGUAAGUAUGGUGGUGGGAUUUCAAUCUUCUUUUCUUGGUUUGCUGUGUGUUUUGAUGCUCUGCGUUUUUGCUUUUGAAGAAAGAGUCUUGCUGUGUAAUCCAGGCUGACCUCACAUUUGCAAUUCUCCUGUCUCUACCUCCCAGGGGCUGAAAUGACCGACAGGUGGGGUUUCAGCUUCUGUGAUUGGUUCAAGUGCAUCUCUCUGGUGGUAGAGACUUCACUAGUUUUAUCCUGUUCUCCUAGUUUCUAAAUAGUCACAUGUCCUGGACUCAGUCCCUAAGUACGUUCUUCGAUGUAGAAUUCUUCUCUGUGUACUCUCAUUCUCUGGAUCUAUUCUUUAUCAAGACAACAUCUUUUUAUACGGUGACCUCACUCAGCCUUCUGAAUGACACAUCUAGCUGCCCACCAAACUUGGAUACCUAAAAGCAAACAGGCCCAAUCAAACUCCAGGUUCCCUCUUCUCCUUGUUAGUGAAUGACAACCCAGUUCAUGCCUUUGUUCCAACCCAAGACUGGAGUUCACAAGGAUCAAAUUCCUCAAGAACAGCUUUGUCUCUCCAAGUCCCAGCUAUAAUCCAUACACUUUUCACCAGGCCUUCGGACAGUAUUCUCUCUCAAGCUACCGUUGUCUCCCACUGUACCAAAUAUCUCCCUGCUUUCAACUUUGACUUAAUCCUUAAAACACCAGUCAGAUCAUACCGCUAAACUCAAGUCCCAAGAAAAACUUCCCACCUUUUCAGAGCCAAAGGCUAAGCCCAUACCAUGGCCUGCCAGACUCAACAGUAUUUGACCUCUGUUACCUCUCUUAGUCAUCUAAUAUCUCCAACUGGCUUUUCUUGGCUGCCUGUGCUUUUCUUCAAAUGUACCAAAUACAUCUCCACUAACCUUGCUGUCUCCACUUUCCAGAACUGACUUCCUUGUCUCUAUGAUUUGCACCCUUGUUUUCUCCAAGUCUCUGCUUCAAAUGCCUAAAUGCUAAUUUUCCAGACCUCUGGCCUCUCUUCCUUCAAGCCCACCUUGUCUUUCUGACCUACUUUAGUUUUCUUCCUAGUACUUUCCACUGAUACAUUUCGUAUCUUCUAUUUUAUUUCCAAUGUGUUCUACCAAAAAGGUAAAGUUAGAAAUGCCAAGGCAUUGGUUUUGUUCACUACCUAAAACCUUGUCACACAGAAUAGGGCUAGACCCUCAGUGUAACUAUUUGUGGAGAGAAUGGGUGGCACAACGCUGUGUCCACUGGAACCCUGGCAACAGUAUCUCUUUCCUGCCAGACUCUACCAGGGGAUCUAAACUUCAGGUCUUUCCUCGUGGCCCACAUGCCAUAUAUUGACAUUUUCCCAUUAGUCAAUAAGGUACUGGCUCACUGGUUCCAUUGAGGACCCUUUCCUCUCUGCCAUCUUUAGUCAAUUGGCAAACCUUUAUACUUAGCCGUCUUAUGGUUCCAAGAAAAUCACCAUAGUUCCAGAGUUCAUUUAAAGUAAUAUAUUGCUUGACACACAGAAAGAUUUCUUACAUUAGUGUAUUUUUCUUUAACUGGGGAAGAAAACUCUUUCCUCUGGGAGAUUCUUAGCAAGUCUCCCUUCACCAUGACAAAGGCCAGUAUCUUAGAGCAAAGGAGGCUGGGAAAGCAAGGUGCUAGUGCCAGCUGCCUCCAUGCCUGGGGCUGGGAAGCGUGGUGGAGAGUACGGACAGUUGUUGACCAGGAGAGCAAGAGCAGCUCCCGAAGGGCAUGUACUUUCAAUUGCAGAAACAAGACCUUCUAUUUGUGUUCUCUUGCCAUCUUACAGACUUGAUUUUGCUUAAUGGAUAUUAGCCACUUAUUCUGUAUCCAUGGGGAUAAUAUUUGAACAUUUUCUUCUGCUUCUAUUGUGCUCUACAAAUAUGAAUCCAUUAGUGUCUUCAGAUUGUGCUCAGUACUAAUGAGUUCAUACUUAUAAAACACUUGAGGCAAAACUUUGAUAUAGUAGCCUAUGAAGCAAUAUGUACUAUAAAUUGAGCUGAACUUUAAACAAACUCAGUCAGUGCUAUCUCACUAGAAAAUAUCUGUUAUCUGUCUAUGCAUCUAUCAGGGAGUUGUAUAUGCUCAGCAAGAUUUCUGUGGUUAACAUCCUAGCUCUUGGUUUUACAAGUCGUGAUCUCAUUAUAUAGCCCAAGCUGCCUGGAACUUAACAAUUAUUCUGCCUCAGCCUCCUAAGUAUUGGGAUUAUAGGUACCACAAUGUGCGGUGUAAAAGGUAUCUUACUUUAAGAAACACUAGACUGUCAAAGAAAAAUCUCUGUUUUUUUAGAAAGAUGUUAUUUCAUCUUUAAGUGACUCCCCAGAACUGAGGCCAUUUUCAUGGGAUCACAAGAAGAUGAGCAAAAGUAAGGGAUUUCUUUCCUUUCUGGUUGUUGUUUUUAUUUUGUUUUGUUUGUGUGGUGUUCUCCUUGUCUGCCUUUUCAUAUUUUAGCACGAGAUACCAACCUGCUGGGAAAGGGUGGUCCUGUGGGGAGCAAAGAGUGAUGAUAUACUAGGAGGUUCCCAUGGGAGAGAUGUCUUUCUCAGCUCCGGAAUCCCAGUGUCAUACGUAGAGGACUUUUCUUCAGAUCCAUUCAGUUUCUGCACUGCACAUCCACCCACUGUCCAAUUCUAGUAUUAGUGUGGGCAGAGAAUGGUAAUGUCUGACUGAUUGGAUAGAGCACUGGCAGUCUUAGUCUUAUAACCUCAUGUAGAGAAUGUAACCAAAGCAGUUUUACUUCUGGUUUACUUCAUAACCACCUUUGGACAAGUUCUUGCUUUCUUCUUUUUUUUUCCUUUCUGAAAAAUUCAUCUUCAGUCUCCUGCAACAGUGGGUGACUGGGUGUGAGCAGAGGUGAGUGUGCACCAGUAGAAAUGGGAUCAGUGACCAAGACGUGCAAAUGGUCUGCACAAUGGCAUUGCCACGUCUGCUGUGCCUGCUGUCUUUAGAAUGCCAAGGCUCUCAAGGUCACAACUGCCCUUCUCUGGUGUCUUUCCCCCAGGUCCUGAGGUCUAACCUCCAACACUAUUAGGUCACUACCUCUGGCUUUGCUGUGUCUCUGUUGCUCAGUUUGUCAUCUGAGGUUUUAUGCACAUAUUCAUGCCAUUUUAAUGGAGAAUGCAGAGCAAAAAUGAGGGCACAACCAGUGUUUUCUUGUUUUUGUUUUCUUGGUAAGAUCACAUAAACUCAAAUCUGUCAGGGAACCAAGUGAGCUUGAAGGCCAGCCUUUCUGGUUCCCAAAAUGAGGGGAAGCCCAGAAAGAACAAAGGAGCUAAGGUCACUGGAAGCAGAAUAGAGAGGCUGUUAGGCUCUGAGUUCUUACAGGGGUGAGACAGCUUAAUUAUGCAUCUUGGUCUCUUUCCCAACUGGCUUUGUGACAUUGAGCAUUUUCUUUGUGACAUUGCCUCAUUUUCCUCCUUUGUAAAAUGGGGGUAAUAGUAGUCGCCUAAUUCAUCAGACUGUGGCCCAUACUUAGGAAUUAACAGUCCUAAAAACUCUUAACAGAGUACUUUUUUGUUCUUAUUUUUUAAUUAAUUUUUAUUUAAAUUAAAAACUAUCUUAUUUUACAUAGCAAUUCCAGUUCCCUCUCCCUCCCAUCCUCCCAUUCUCCCCCAUCUUUGAGAUAGAAAUAAAUGAUUUUAAUUAUUAUUUUGGAUACAUUUAACUAAAGGAGUGUACUAGAGGACCAUCUUUCAUUUUAUUAUUUAUAUGUAUUCAUGUUUUGUCCACAUCCACAUCUGCAUACCAACGGCAUGCCUGGUGCCCAGAGGCCAGAAAAGGGUGUCAGUCCCCUGAGACUGUAGUUAUAUAUGGUUGUAAGUUGCAAUGUGGUGCUGGGAAUUGAAGCCAGGUCCUCUGAAAGAAAAGCAAGUGUUCUUAACUGCUGAGUCAUUUUGUUAGCCCUAGAGGGAUAUCUUAAUUUAACUGAGAAAGUGCCUCUGUUAGAUUGUCAGGGAGAGGUCUGUGGUGCAUUUUCUUUAUUCAUGCUUGAUGUGGGGCCCUACUCACUGCGAUGCCCCUGGGAAGGUGGUCCUGUGUAGUAAAAGGCAGCAUUCCAGAACAAGCCAUGGGGAGCAAGCCGGUCAGCUUCUGUGUGGUUUCUGCUUCAGCUCUGGCCUCUGGGUUCCUGCCCUGACUGCCCUCAGUGAAGUAAAAAGCUGAUCAUAUCAGCGCGAAGAUGAAACGAAACCCUCUCCUCCUCAAGUUGCUUUCAGUCAUGGUGUUUAUCACAGGACUCAAAAGCUAACUAAGAAGGUGUUGGCCUAGCAGGUGUGAGGCCCUGGGUUCAACCCCAGAUCCACAGCAGAAUGAAACAAAACAACCGUUUGUGAAAUUGAUUUGUGGGUUGGGUUUGUCUGAGGUAGAGGCAGAAACUGUGGUGUGUGUGUGUGUGUGUGUGUGUGUGUGUGUGUGUGUGUGUGUGUGUGUGUGUGUCGUCCCCCUACCCCCACAGCCAAGCAUUUGUCUGCCUGCAGUGUGACAUGUUACAGGUGAUUAAAAGAAGCAGGAGGAGGAGCGUCACUUCCUGAGAGACCUGGGCUCUGAGAAGGGUGGAAAUGUGCAGGUGCUCCAAAGCCGUUUGCAGAGCUGCAGCUCAAGGUUCACUCAGCACACCUGAGAGAGUACGGAGAGACGCUCGACCUUGAAGCUGCUGCGCUCCGAGGUGAAGCUGCUGUAGUUUGAGUGAAAAUGGCCCCAUAGGCCCAUAGGGAGUUUCACGAUUAGGAGGUGUGGCCUUGUUGAAGUGGGUGUGGCUUUGUUGGAGGAAGUGUGUCACAGUCUCUUCCUGCUGCCUGUGGAUCUGGAUGAAGAACUCUCAACUGUCCCUUCAGUACCAUGCAGUAGAAACCCUGACUAUGACAGAAGACAAGCUGUGAUUAUAAGAUGUGGGUCUGGAAUGAAGCAGAACCUCACUUUCCAGAAGCGAGUCCUUGGAACACAACCACAACUGACCUCAAUAACCUUGCUUGCAAAGGAACAGUAAGUAUCCCUGACUUGAUGGGGGGCUGUAAGGUGUGAGAGGGCACGACCUGUGGAAGUUAAUGAGUUGACACAUACUCAGAAUUGUGAUCAUCCAGAAAUGCUCAGUGGAUGGGGUUUUAUGUGUGGUGAUACUCACUUGCACAAGUUGAUGGAUAUUCUUGCUUACUACUUCCUGGACUCAGCUAGUUUCUACAGCCACAAUGCCACGCUCCAAAGUCAUGUCUUCUACCUCCCCUGGUUCAGCAGUAACAAAGGCAAUAACUCCAUCCUCAGAAGACUUUCAUUAGAUUUAGUUUCCUGUAUAAUUUAGUAACCCCUUCCUGCAUUAUUAUCUUACUUGAUGUCCUACUUUUUGAUUUUCAUUGGGGAAGCCAAACUCAAACAGAUAUCUCUAUAGAAAACUAAAUUUGAAUGUAAAGAAUGCACAUUAACAGUGCAAGCGAGACGGCUUAGCAGGUAAAGGCAUCUGUCACCAAGCCUGAAGUUCUGGGUUUAAUUCCUGGAACCCACAAGGUGGAAGGAGAGAAGUGGCUCCUGCAAGUUGUCCUCUGACUUACACACACACACACACACUAAAUAAAUAAAAAUGUAAUAAAAGUAAGUCUUCUACAAAGAAUGUACAUUAAUAAAAUCCACAUGUAUUUAUUAAAUGAGUGUAAGGAACAAUAAAACUAACAUGUAUUGAACAGACUGGAGUUCCACUUUAAAGAAAACAGCAACAAAUGCCUUUGACUUGGUAGAAAUCUCAAAGUAGCUCUGCCAGAUAUGCUCUGCACGGAAGGUUCUUCAACCAUGCAUGUUGAAAUCCAGCAGUAAACAUGUCUCAGGAUCCAGAAGUCAGGGCCUAGAGAGAUGGCUCAGCAGGUAAGAGCACUGGCUGCUCUUCCAAGUGACCCAGGUUUUAUUCCCAGACACCAUACAGCAGCUCACAACUACCUGAAACUCUAGUUUCAGGGGAUCCAACACCCUCUUCUGGUCUCUACAGGUACUGGGCACAUGUGGUAACAUACACACAUAGAGACAAAACACACAUGCACAUUUAAAAAAAAUCUUGGAACAACAACAACAACAACAACAGCAACAAAUGACCCAGAAGUUGAAGAAAAAGGCAGGUAGUCCAAACUCCCUGCUUCAGGAUGCAUCCAAAGCUCAUCACUCUGUCCAAAGGCCUCACAGACAUGAUGCACUGGCUUUCACACCUACUUCCCAUGAAUUUUAAGGUUUUUAUGUGGUUCAAUCUAAGGUAGGCCUAUCCAUGGUUCAUUAUUUAUCGAAUAGGCCAUAGAACAAUGUUCCAGGAUCCAGGAGUUAAGGAGAAUCAAAGAGUAGAGACAAUAUUUUCAUAUUAUUUUAUUUAGUCAAAUACUUGCCAGUGAUAUUGCUAAAAGGGUGGGGUAGAGAAUUAUUACAUAAAAAAAUCAAUCCAAAUUGUGUAUUUUUUUUCACAUUUUGCUAUCUCCAAAAUCAGGAUGUACUACAAUUCACAUCAUGGCUUAAUUUUGUAGUGCUUUUAUUUUUCUUCUUUAUGGGACAUAAAGAGAGGUGUUACUGACAGCCAAUGAUGCCUUAGAUUUGAUGAAAUAUUUUAGACUUUUUUUUGUCAUUCAUUGACCCUUUUGUUUUAGGUUACCAUCCUCUGUGUGUGUGUGUGUGUGUGUGUGUGUGUGUGUGUGUGUGUAUGUACUUACACACCUGCUUUGAACAGAUCCAAUAUCCCUAAGAGCUGGGGAACUCUAAAAUACUAGAGUCUUGCGUGUUCACUCAAGGUCCAAGAUGAGACCCCAGGAAGGGCAAAUUUCCCACCGCCCAAAGAAAAGGAAGAACUUAGGUCAACCUUUUUACAUGAGAGUUGGGGGGAUGGACAGACAGACAGGGAGAAAGAGAGGCAGACACACAGAGACAGAGAGAUACAGAAAUA
Molecule: long non-coding RNA, 7231 nt
Organism: Mesocricetus auratus (golden hamster)
Lineage: Eukaryota; Metazoa; Chordata; Mammalia; Rodentia; Cricetidae
Exons: 3
Source: RefSeq, a predicted model, not a curated record